This 779-nucleotide ribosomal RNA is filed under the name uncultured bacterium. RNAcentral describes it as "bacterial SSU rRNA". It matches the Rfam family "Bacterial small subunit ribosomal RNA", at positions 87 to 884 of the family's 1533-position model. The record is from RNAcentral.
AUGGACUCAUGGCGGACGGGUGAGUAACGCGUAAAGAACUUGCCCUUUAGACUGGGAUAACAGAGGGAAACUUCUGAUAAUACUGGAUAAGUUAGUAUAUCGCAUGAUAUGCAAAUGAAAGCUACGGCACUAAAGGAGAGCUUUGCGUCCUAUUAGCUAGUUGGUAAGGUAAGAGCUUACCAAGGCGAUGAUAGGUAGCCGGCCUGAGAGGGUGGACGGCCACAAGGGGACUGAGAUACGGCCCUUACUCCUACGGGAGGCAGCAGUGGGGAAUAUUGGACAAUGGAGGAAACUCUGAUCCAGCAAUUCUGUGUGUGUGAAGAAGGUUUUAGGACUGUAAAACACUUUUAGUAGGGAAGAAAAAAAUGACGGUACCUACAGAAGAAGCAACGGCUAAAUACGUGCCAGCAGCCGCGGUAAUACGUAUGUUGCGAGCGUUAUCCGGAAUUAUUGGGCUUAAAGGGCAUCUAGGCGGUAAGACAAGUUGAAGGUGAAAACCUGUGGCUCAACCAUAGGCUUGCCUACAAAACUGUUGAACUAGAGUACUGGAAAGGUGGGUGGAACUACACGAGUAGAGGUGAAAUUCGUAGAUAUGUGUAGGAAUGCCGAUGAUGAAGAUAACUCACUGGACAGAAACUGACGCUGAAGUGCGAGAGCUAGGGGAGCAAACAGGAUUAGAUACCCUGGUAGUCCUAGCUGUAAACGAUGAUCACUGGGUGUGGGGAUGCGAAGUCUCUGUGCCGAAGCAAAAGCGAUAAGUGAUCCGCCUGGGGAGUACG